Molecule: ribosomal RNA, 566 nt
Filed under: uncultured archaeon
Lineage: Archaea
Description: bacterial SSU rRNA
Rfam family: Archaeal small subunit ribosomal RNA
Source: RNAcentral
CGGGGUGCAGCAGGCGCGAAAACUUUACAAUGCGGGAAACCGUGAUAAGGGGACACCGAGUGCCAGCAUCAUAUGCUGGCUGUCCAGGUGUGUAAAAUACACCUGUUAGCAAGGGCCGGGCAAGACCGGUGCCAGCCGCCGCGGUAACACCGGCGGCCCGAGUGGUGAUCGUGAUUAUUGGGUCUAAAGGGUCCGUAGCCGGUUUGGUCAGUCCUCCGGGAAAUCUGAUAGCUCAACUAUUAGGCUUUCGGGGGAUGCUGCCAGACUUGGAACCGGGAGAGGUAAGAGGUACUACAGGGGUAGGAGUGAAAUCUUGUAAUCCCUGUGGGACCACCUGUGGCGAAGGCGUCUUACCAGAACGGGUUCGACGGUGAGGGACGAAAGCUGGGGGCACGAACCGGAUUAGAUACCCGGGUAGUCCCAGCCGUAAACGAUGCUCGCUAGGUGUCAGGCAUGGCGCGACCGUGUCUGGUGCCGCAGGGAAGCCGUGAAGCGAGCCACCUGGGAAGUACGGCCGCAAGGCUGAAACUUAAAGGAAUUGGCGGGGGAGCACAAGGGCGAAUCGC